GGCCGGUUGGCCCAAUGGCAAGGCGUCUGACAGGCGUCUGACUACGAUUCAUCGUGCAAUCAGGAGAUUCUGGGUUCGACCCCCAGGCUGGUCA
RNAcentral lists this transfer RNA (94 nucleotides) under Colletotrichum fructicola Nara gc5. RNAcentral's name for it is "tRNA-Ala for anticodon GGC". It matches the Rfam family "tRNA". From Rfam's summary of the family: Transfer RNA (tRNA) molecules are approximately 80 nucleotides in length. The record is from RNAcentral. Lineage: Eukaryota; Fungi; Ascomycota; Sordariomycetes; Glomerellales; Glomerellaceae.